UCGAACGGUAACAGGAAGCAGCUUGCUGUUUCGCUGACGAGUGGCGGACGGGUGAGUAAUGUCUGGGAAACUGCCUGAUGGAGGGGGAUAACUACUGGAAACGGUAGCUAAUACCGCAUAACGUCGCAAGACCAAAGAGGGGGACCUUCGGGCCUCUUGCCAUCGGAUGUGCCCAGAUGGGAUUAGCUAGUAGGUGGGGUAACGGCUCACCUAGGCGACGAUCCCUAGCUGGUCUGAGAGGAUGACCAGCCACACUGGAACUGAGACACGGUCCAGACUCCUACGGGAGGCAGCAGUGGGGAAUAUUGCACAAUGGGCGCAAGCCUGAUGCAGCCAUGCCGCGUGUAUGAAGAAGGCCUUCGGGUUGUAAAGUACUUUCAGCGGGGAGGAAGGGAGUAAAGUUAAUACCUUUGCUCAUUGACGUUACCCGCAGAAGAAGCACCGGCUAACUCCGUGCCAGCAGCCGCGGUAAUACGGAGGGUGCAAGCGUUAAUCGGAAUUACUGGGCGUAAAGCGCACGCAGGCGGUUUGUUAAGUCAGAUGUGAAAUCCCCGGGCUCAACCUGGGAACUGCAUCUGAUACUGGCAAGCUUGAGUCUCGUAGAGGGGGGUAGAAUUCCAGGUGUAGCGGUGAAAUGCGUAGAGAUCUGGAGGAAUACCGGUGGCGAAGGCGGCCCCCUGGACGAAGACUGACGCUCAGGUGCGAAAGCGUGGGGAGCAAACAGGAUU
Molecule: ribosomal RNA, 728 nt
Filed under: Shigella flexneri
Lineage: Bacteria; Pseudomonadati; Pseudomonadota; Gammaproteobacteria; Enterobacterales; Enterobacteriaceae
Description: bacterial SSU rRNA
Rfam family: Bacterial small subunit ribosomal RNA
Source: RNAcentral